RNAcentral lists this long non-coding RNA (436 nucleotides) under Felis catus (domestic cat). Its description in RNAcentral is "lncRNA (ENSFCAG00000047942.1)". The record is from RNAcentral. Lineage: Eukaryota; Metazoa; Chordata; Mammalia; Carnivora; Felidae.
AUUUAUUUUUGGGACAGAGAGAGACAGAGCAUGAGCAGGGGAGGGGCAGAGAGAAGGAGACACAGAAUCCGAAACAGGCUCCAGGCUCUGAGCUGUCAGCACAGAGCCCAAAGCGGGGCUCAAACUCACGGACCAUGAGAUCAUGACCUGAGCCGAAGUCGGACACUUAACCGACUGAGCCACCCAGGAGCCCCAUCCAGUCUGCAUUCUUAAUCACGGUGCUAACGGCGGUGGUUGAAGACCAAGAAACAGGUCGGAUGCAGAGCCCGUUCACCUGGACACUGAACUUUUUGGUUGAAAGCUUACCCGAAGCCAACAGGGAGUUUCUGUGCUGGGUGUCUGUGUCUGUGAAGGACCACCUAGUUAUCUGUCAAAAUGCAGCUUCUUCUUCCAUAGAAACAGAACCUCGAUUUAGUUGGAAGUGCCAAAGUGCCCA